Molecule: ribosomal RNA, 254 nt
Filed under: uncultured bacterium
Lineage: Bacteria
Description: partial 16S ribosomal RNA
Rfam family: Bacterial small subunit ribosomal RNA
Source: RNAcentral
UACGGAGGGUGCAGCGUUGUCCGGAAUCACUGGGCGUAAAGGGCGCGUAGGCGGCUCAUGAAGGCUGUGGUGAAAGUCCGGGGCUCAACCUCGGAUCGGCCGUGGCGACUCGUGGGCUGGAGCACUGUAGAGGCGGGUGGAAUUCCGGGUGUAGCGGUGGAUGCGUAGAGAUCCGGAAGAACACCAGUGGCGAAGGCGGCCCGCUGGGCAGUGGCUGACGCUGAAGCGCGACAGCGUGGGGAGCAAACGAGGAU